GUUGUCUUAGCUCAAUUGGUAGAGCACAUGGUUUACAACUAUGUAGUUGUGGGUUCAAUUCCCGCAGAUGGCA
Non-coding RNA from Papaver somniferum (opium poppy), 73 nucleotides. Lineage: Eukaryota; Viridiplantae; Streptophyta; Magnoliopsida; Ranunculales; Papaveraceae. The record is from the annotation of a RefSeq genome assembly.